Molecule: ribosomal RNA, 287 nt
Filed under: uncultured Lactobacillus sp.
Lineage: Bacteria; Bacillati; Bacillota; Bacilli; Lactobacillales; Lactobacillaceae
Description: partial 16S ribosomal RNA
Rfam family: Bacterial small subunit ribosomal RNA
Source: RNAcentral
UUGGUAAGGUAAAAGGCUUACCAAGGCGAUGAUGCAUAGCCGAGUUGAGAGACUGAUCGGCCACAUUGGGACUGAGACACGGCCCAAACUCCUACGGGAGGCAGCAGUAGGGAAUCUUCCACAAUGGACGCAAGUCUGAUGGAGCAACGCCGCGUGAGUGAAGAAGGUUUUCGGAUCGUAAAGCUCUGUUGUUGGUGAAGAAGGAUAGAGGUAGUAACUGGCCUUUAUUUGACGGUAAUCAACCAGAAAGUCACGGGCUAACUACGUGCCAGCAGCCGCGGUAAAAU